GACGAACGCUGGCGGCGUGCUUAACACAUGCAAGUCGAACGGAAAGGCCUUGCUUGCAGGGUACUCGAGUGGCGAACGGGUGAGUAACACGUGGGUGAUCUGCCCUGCACUUCGGGAUAAGCCUGGGAAACUGGGUCUAAUACCGGCUAGGUGCCAUUUUUAGUGUGAUGGUUGGAAAGUUUUUUCGGUGUAGGAUGAGCUCGCGGCCUAUCAGCUUGUUGGUGGGGUAAUGGCCUACCAAGGCGGCGACGGGUAGCCGGCCUGAGAGGGUGGACGGCCACAAUGGGACUGAGAUACGGCCCAGACGGCUACGGGAGGCAGCAGUGGGGAAUAUUGCACAAUGGGCGCAAGCCUGAUGCAGCGACGCCGCGUGGGGGAUGACGGCCUUCGGGUUGUAAACUGCUUUCGCUAGGGACGAAGCUUUUGUGACGGUACCUAGAUAAGAAGCACCGGCUAACUACGUG
RNAcentral lists this ribosomal RNA (464 nucleotides) under uncultured bacterium. Its description in RNAcentral is "partial 16S ribosomal RNA". It matches the Rfam family "Bacterial small subunit ribosomal RNA", at positions 28 to 507 of the family's 1533-position model. The record is from RNAcentral.